GGGGGGGGGGGGGGGUGGGGGUAGCCGGCGGGUGCCAAACAUGCAAGUCGAGCGAAUGGAUUAAGAGCUUGCUCUUAUGAAGUUAGCGGCGGACGGGUGAGUAACACGUGGGUAACCUGCCCAUAAGACUGGGAUAACUCCGGGAAACCGGGGCUAAUACCGGAUAACAUUUUGAACCGCAUGGUUCGAAAUUGAAAGGCGGCUUCGGCUGUCACUUAUGGAUGGACCCGCGUCGCAUUAGCUAGUUGGUGAGGUAACGGCUCACCAAGGCAACGAUGCGUAGCCGACCUGAGAGGGUGAUCGGCCACACUGGGACUGAGACACGGCCCAGACUCCUACGGGAGGCAGCAGUAGGGAAUCUUCCGCAAUGGACGAAGGUCUGCAGGACCACCCCCGCGUGAGUGAUGUAUGCUUUCACUCCAUCCAUCUCUAGUGACAAGAAAAAAUACUACUUAGUUAUGCUGGUCGGCUGCAUUUACGCAACCAGAAAUAAUGCCUAAAUACUUGCAGGAGCCCCGGAUUAGGUAGGUGUCACCGGUUUUCUUGAAAUAUUGGGCGCAAAGGCCCCCCAGCCGGUUUCUUAAUAAUGACAUCGAACCCCCCGCUCAACCGUAGAGGUCUUUGGAAACUUGGAUCAUGAGAACAUAAAAAAAGAAUGGAAUUCCUC
RNAcentral lists this ribosomal RNA (667 nucleotides) under Bacillus thuringiensis. Its description in RNAcentral is "bacterial SSU rRNA". It matches the Rfam family "Bacterial small subunit ribosomal RNA", at positions 1 to 672 of the family's 1533-position model. The record is from RNAcentral. Lineage: Bacteria; Bacillati; Bacillota; Bacilli; Caryophanales; Bacillaceae.